AAUGAUGUUGAAUUCAGAGAGGU
Molecule: non-coding RNA, 23 nt
Filed under: Cricetulus griseus (Chinese hamster)
Lineage: Eukaryota; Metazoa; Chordata; Mammalia; Rodentia; Cricetidae
Source: RNAcentral